GAGACCAUCUGCAGAUUAUGGGCCUGGUUAAAGCAGCCCUAGAAUAUCACAGCAAUUUUCCACUUGUGCCAGAGGUGUUACCAUCGCAGCCAUCACAUGAAUACACCUCAAAUCUUCAGUGCAAAAAACAGAUGGCAAACUGCAAAACUCCAGAGACUAUGAGCUUAAACAGGCACUACAGAAUGUGCAUGGAUCUUCUGAGGGGUCUCACCGUGUUUUCUGGACAUCUGGGUCUGCUGAAGGAGUAGUCAUGUGAAGCAGGACAGUUGUGAUCCAUGUUUGUAAAAUGGUGUGCUCAGGAAAUUACUGCAGUUUGGAUGUCUGAAUAUGAUGGGACUCCUUGAGUGGCAGAACAAAAAGAUUGACUCAUUGUAUGAAGAAUUCUAAGAAUAUGGUCAUCUCUGACAGGCAGGAUGCAGUAAACAAACCCACUGAAGUGCCCAAUCUGUUCACGGAUACGUUUUUGAGGAGCAGGCUGCAAAAUAAUUUUGUCUGCCAGAGACUGCUAAUAUUUACCUGAGGGUUAUGCACUUGAAAAAUAUGACUUCACAUUUAAUACUUGAAUAUCAUAUUUUUAAGUAUUCAGGAGUGGCUCAAAAAUUGUCCAUCUGGAAGAAAAGGAAAGGUAAACAAAACACCUCAGACUUGUGUUUAAUGCAGUGUGAUUUAAGGAAAAGCUUUAUUUUGUUACUGUUUCCUCCUAAACAUAAUGCAUAGCCUCAUUUUUGAAGAUGUUUUUUCUCUUCUGUAUAGCCUUAGAGACCUUACUCCCACAAUGCCUGCUAGUUUUUCCCUUUGAUAAUACAUGACUACAGAUAAUAGACUUUCAGUGUCACAGAUUCUGAACAAACUCAUGCUUAUAUAUCAGAAAAUGCCACUUUUCUUCAGAUACAUUUUUAGUUAUAAAUGCCUUGCACGUUUCAGUGGCUUUCUCAUGCUGAGUACUUCAUCCAGGCUUGGAUCUCAUCCAGCUCUCACCACAGGCAGUGGCAAGAAUCUUACUGGCUUCACUAGGACUAAAUGAAAUUCUGUGGGUUUUAUCUUCAUUUCUAUGUGUUCAGUCCCAAGCGCAGCACUUAAACAGAUGCUUAGACUUAUGAGUAGUCUUAUUCAAAUCAAGGAAUCAUUCACAUAUCUGUAAUUAAGUACAGGCAAAGGUGGGAGCAUGUACACAUAUAUGUGUAUGGUUAUAUGUAUAUGCUGUUAAAUUACUGAGGGUGGCAGAGCUUGUGGAAGAAUAUGACUUACCACUCAAGUGUAACUUAAGUGUUCGAGUCACAGAAUCAUGGAACUAUAGAGUAUCUCAAGUUGGAAGGGGACCACAAGAAUCAUCUAGACCAACUCCCUGCUCCUCUCAAGAUUACCUAAAAACUAAAUCAUAUGACUAAGGGCAUCAUCCAGUCACUCCUUGAACUUUGACAGGCUUGUUGGCGAGACCACUUCCACAGGAAUUUGUUCCAGUGGCCAACCAACCUCUCAGCAAAGAACCAUUCCGAAUAUCCAAUCUGGACUUCCCUUGAAAGAGUUUUAUUCUAAAUCCUCCUGUCUUAUUUCUGACCAGCAGAAAGAGGACAUCAGUGUCUCUACCUCUGCUGCUAACCCUUGAGCAAGAUGUAGCCUGUAAUGGACUCCUUCUCUUCCCCAGGAUGUACAAGCCAAGUUGUCUCCGUCUCUCUGGGUGCCUCCCAGUGAACCCCGGCCAGCCCCGGGUCGGCAAACAGCGGGGGGGGCAGCCCCGAAGUGACCGACAA
This is a long non-coding RNA of Onychostruthus taczanowskii (white-rumped snowfinch), 1751 nucleotides long. RefSeq lists it as uncharacterized. Lineage: Eukaryota; Metazoa; Chordata; Aves; Passeriformes; Passeridae. The transcript is spliced from 3 exons. The record is from RefSeq and is a predicted model, not a curated record.